AUCGCUUCUCAGCCUUUUGGCUAAGAUCAAGUAUAGUAUCAAUAGCCAAUGAUCUUUAUAAGUCAUUAUAAAUGCAUAUUAAAUAAUAAAUGCUUU
Molecule: small nuclear RNA, 96 nt
Organism: Heterocephalus glaber (naked mole-rat)
Lineage: Eukaryota; Metazoa; Chordata; Mammalia; Rodentia; Bathyergidae
Gene: U2
Rfam family: U2 spliceosomal RNA
About the family: U2 is a small nuclear RNA (snRNA) component of the spliceosome (involved in pre-mRNA splicing). Complementary binding between U2 snRNA (in an area lying towards the 5' end but 3' to hairpin I) and the branchpoint sequence (BPS) of the intron results the bulging out of an unpaired adenosine, on the BPS, which initiates a nucleophilic attack at the intronic 5' splice site, thus starting the first of two transesterification reactions that mediate splicing.
Source: Ensembl